CCUACGGGUGGCAGCAGUGGGGAAUAUUGCACAAUGGGGGAAACCCUGAUGCAGCGACGCCGCGUGAGUGAAGAAGUAAUUCGUUAUGGAAAGCUCUAACAGCAGGGAAGAAAAUGACGGUACCUGAGUAAGAAGCCCCGGCUAACUACGUGCCAGCAUCCGCGGUAAUACGUAGGGGGCAAGCGUUAUCAGGAUUUAAGGGGUGUAAAGGGAGCGUAGCCGGCAGGGCAAGUCUGGAGUGAAAGGCGGGGGCUCAACCCCCGGACUGCUCUGGAAACUGUACGGCUGGAGUGCAGGAGAGUUAACUGGAAUUCCUAUUGUAGCGUUGAAAUGCGUAGUUAUUAGGAGGAACACCAGUGGCGACGGCGGCUUACUGGACUGUACCUGUCGUUGCGGCUCGAAAGCGUGGGGAGCAAACAGGAUUAGAUACCCCGGUAGUC
RNAcentral lists this ribosomal RNA (440 nucleotides) under uncultured bacterium. RNAcentral's name for it is "partial 16S ribosomal RNA". It matches the Rfam family "Bacterial small subunit ribosomal RNA", at positions 338 to 795 of the family's 1533-position model. The record is from RNAcentral.